UGGUGGUGGCCUAACACAUGCAGUUGAACGGUAACAGGAAGUGCUUGCACUUCGCUGACGAGUGGCGGACGGGUGAGUAAUGCUUGGGAACUUGCCUUUGUGAGGGGGAUAACAGUUGGAAACGACUGCUAAUACCGCAUAAUGUCUACGGACCAAACGGGGCUUCGGCUCCGGCGCAAAGAGAGGCCCAAGUGAGAUUAGCUAGUUGGUAAGGUAAAGGCUUACCAAGGCAACGAUCUCUGGCUGUUCUGAGAGGAAGAUCAGCCACACUGGAACUGAGACACGGUCCAGACUCCUACGGGAGGCAGCAGUGGGGAAUAUUGCACAAUGGGGGAAACCCUGAUGCAGCCAUGCCGCGUGUGUGAAGAAGGCCUUCGGGUUGUAAAGCACCUUCAGUUGUGAGGAAAAGUUAGUAGUUAAUACCUGCUAGCCGUGACGUUAACAACAGAAGAAGCACCGGCUAACUCCGUGCCAGCAGCCGCGGUAAUACGGAGGGUGCGAGCGUUAAUCGGAAUUACUGGGCGUAAAGCGCACGCAGGCGGUUUGUUAAGCUAGAUGUGAAAGCCCCGGGCUCAACCUGGGAUGGUCAUUUAGAACUGGCAGACUAGAGUCUUGGAGAGGGGAGUGGAAUUCCAGGUGUAGCGGUGAAAUGCGUAGAUAUCUGGAGGAACAUCAGUGGCGAAGGCGACUCCCUGGCCAAAGACUGACGCUCAUGUGCGAAGGUGUGGGUAGCGAACAGGAUUAGAUACCCUGGUAGUCCACACCGUAACGCUGUCUACUAGCUGUUUGUGACUUUAAGUCGUGAGUAGCGAAGCUAACGCGAUAAGUAGACCGCCUGGGGAGUACGGCCGCAAGGGUUAAAACUCAAAGGAAUUGACGG
Molecule: ribosomal RNA, 880 nt
Filed under: uncultured marine bacterium
Lineage: Bacteria
Description: bacterial SSU rRNA
Rfam family: Bacterial small subunit ribosomal RNA
Source: RNAcentral